AUUAAAACACUGGCUCCCGUACGAUCAUCAAAGUUAAGCAACGUCGAUUUUGGUCAGUACCUAGAUAGGUGACCUCUUGCGAAUAUCAGGUGCUGUG
Non-coding RNA from Acanthosepion pharaonis, 97 nucleotides. The record is from the annotation of a GenBank genome assembly. NCBI's taxonomy places the organism in Eukaryota, Metazoa, Mollusca, Cephalopoda, Sepiida, Sepiidae.